CCAGUUCCAUUUACACAAACUGAAACAAAACUAUAAAGGUGACUAAAUCUUCCAUUGACAUUAUGCGUGUUUUAUUUCAACUAUACUGAAAUCUACAUGAGGUUGUGAUUCAUGAAAUGUACCUUGAUUUGAGAUGAAAUAAGAGAAUGAAAGUCAGUUGAGGCAGACAGAACAAGAAACAACAGUAUGAACUCAAACAACCCAGCAAUUUAGAAUCAACAAGCAACUCAAAUU
RNAcentral lists this long non-coding RNA (234 nucleotides) under Nicotiana benthamiana. RNAcentral's name for it is "long non-coding RNA (NBEN_LNC033649)". The record is from RNAcentral. Lineage: Eukaryota; Viridiplantae; Streptophyta; Magnoliopsida; Solanales; Solanaceae.